UACGUAGGGCGCGAGCGUUAUCCGGAAUUAUUGGGCGUAAAGAGCUCGUAGGCGGUUUGUCGCGUCUGCCGUGAAAGUCCGGGGCUUAACCCCGGAUCUGCGGUGGGUACGGGCAGACUAGAGUGCAGCAGGGGAGACCGGAAUUCCUGGUGUAGCGGUGAAAUGCGCAGAUAUCAGGAGGAACACCGAUGGCGAAGGCAGGUCUCUGGGCUGUUUCUGACGCUGAGGUGCGAAAGCGUGGGUAGCAAACAGG
This 253-nucleotide unclassified non-coding RNA is filed under the name uncultured Micrococcaceae bacterium. RNAcentral describes it as "contains 16S-23S intergenic spacer region". It matches the Rfam family "Bacterial small subunit ribosomal RNA", at positions 524 to 776 of the family's 1533-position model. The record is from RNAcentral. Lineage: Bacteria; Bacillati; Actinomycetota; Actinomycetes; Micrococcales; Micrococcaceae.